UUGGUGUGUGUGUGUGUGUGUUGUUGUGUGUGUGUGUGUUGUGUGUGUGUGUGUGUGUGUGUGUGUGUGUGUGUGUUCUGACUAGAGAAGAUGGUGCUUUGUUGGCCCCAGUGAGGUAGCGAGAGAAGAGGGAGGGGGUUGUCGUCGUCCUCUCCAGGUUUACCUCUCCCCGUUCACUGGGCCGUUCGGUCAACUGUCCAACCGCCUGAACUGAGCCAGGAUGUAGCUGAAAACGGUUUAAAAGGUAUAAGUGACGGCUGGAGCCUCGAUCUGUCUUCUUUGGCACCGGAUCAGCCUCAAACCUGGAACCGCCGCACGGGGAAAAUCGAGUAAAGCAACCACUGCUCACUGUUUAUGUAUUUUAAUCAGUAUUCGACUACUGUUCUGACCCUGCCUUGUUGUCAUGGUGAUGCUUGUGUCUUGAGCUUGACUGAAAUGGGGCAAGGCUUCUUGUUGGCCCGUAGUGACUCAGGCAAGGAGAUGUGACUUGUGAUUGGCUGGUUCUUCCUGGCUUUUCAGGGACACAGGGUUACACUUGCCUCUUUGAUGGCUUAUCCAGGAUCAGCUCUCCCUCUCCAGCUCCUAAGCUUAACUACAUGUGAGGAAACACAAAACUGACAGGAAGCCUUGGGCAAGUGAAGUCCGGAUGGUCUAUAUUCCCUUUCUGCUCUUGAUGAAAUUAUUUAAAACUUUGUUCAUUCUGAUUUUGACAGUGCUUCUCUCCUAGUGCUCACCAGUGCGCAGUUUUGUCCUUCCUCAGUAUCCUUACGUUAACCAAUUAGUGGGACAAACUGACGUCUGAUCAGCAGCUCAGGAGGCAGCAGUGCUAUGCUGUUAGAGAAGGGACAAGCAACGUCUGUAAAUCGCCUCUCAUUAAUGUUACUGUAUUGCUUCCCAGCUUUGUGUGUGUGUGUGUGUGUGUGUGUGUGUGUGUGUGUGUGUGUGUGUGUGUGUGCUGUGUGGGUGUGUGUGUGUGUGUGUGUGGUGUGUGGGUGUGUGUGUGUGGUGUGUGUGUGUGUGUGUGUUGUGUGUGUGUGUUCAUGCCAAAUCAAGGGUGAGGGGGAAGGAAAGGAUUGUACAUUUUUAUUUUUUUGGUUGAUGUGUGUGUAUAUUUAAAAAACAAAAGUAAACAAAAAAAAAGCUGGACUAUGUUAAAUGCUUGAAAAAAAAAAAAAAAAAAAAAAUGUCAUUUGCAAAAGGAUGAUGGGAAAACCUUUUUCAGAUAAGUGAACACCACCAUGAGCAAGUACAAUCCCCCAGGCUGCCAAGCAGCUUCCGACAGGGCCAGAGGGGAAGAAAGGAGGGUGGGAAAGGAGGGGAGCUGGCUGGUGAAACUCUACUACUUUUUAAUGUUUAAUAAAAAAAAUAAUGUGACUGUUUUUCUCUUGACUUAACUAUCCUGUGAGCAAAUGCUAUAUUAUAUCAUAGUACACACCCAACUGCUCCUGUCGAUCAAAAGCGCUAAGGCUAUUUUUUGACAAAAAAAAGAAAAGAAAAAAACUG
Long non-coding RNA from Etheostoma spectabile (orangethroat darter), 1503 nucleotides. RefSeq lists it as uncharacterized. The record is from RefSeq and is a predicted model, not a curated record. NCBI's taxonomy places the organism in Eukaryota, Metazoa, Chordata, Actinopteri, Perciformes, Percidae. The transcript has 2 exons.